Molecule: ribosomal RNA, 759 nt
Filed under: Chryseomicrobium sp. Ts4
Lineage: Bacteria; Bacillati; Bacillota; Bacilli; Caryophanales; Caryophanaceae
Description: bacterial SSU rRNA
Rfam family: Bacterial small subunit ribosomal RNA
Source: RNAcentral
CGGCGGGUGCUAUACAUGCAAGUCGAGCGGAUGAAGGAGGAGCUUGCUCCUCCAGAUUCAGCGGCGGACGGGUGAGUAACACGUGGGCAACCUGCCCUGUAGAUUGGGAUAACUCCGGGAAACCGGGGCUAAUACCGAAUAAUCCACCAGACCACAUGGUCCGGUGUUGAAAGGCGGCUUCGGCUGUCACUACAGGAUGGGCCCGCGGCGCAUUAGCUAGUUGGUGGGGUAACGGCCCACCAAGGCGACGAUGCGUAGCCGACCUGAGAGGGUGAUCGGCCACACUGGGACUGAGACACGGCCCAGACUCCUACGGGAGGCAGCAGUAGGGAAUCUUCCACAAUGGACGAAAGUCUGAUGGAGCAACGCCGCGUGAGUGAAGAAGGUUCUCGGAUCGUAAAACUCUGUUGUGAGGGAAGAACAAGUACCGGAGUAACUGCCGGUACCUUGACGGUACCUCAUUAGAAAGCCACGGCUAACUACGUGCCAGCAGCCGCGGUAAUACGUAGGUGGCAAGCGUUGUCCGGAAUCAUUGGGCGUAAAGCGCGCGCAGGCGGUCCCUUAAGUCUGAUGUGAAAGCCCACGGCUCAACCGUGGAGGGUCAUUGGAAACUGGGGGACUUGAGUGCAGAAGAGGAAAGCGGAAUUCCAAGUGUAGCGGUGAAAUGCGUAGAGAUUUGGAGGAACACCAGUGGCGAAGGCGGCUUUCUGGUCUGUAACUGACGCUGAGGCGCGAAAGCGUGGGGAGCAAACAGGAUUA